GAUGAACGCUGGCGGCGUGCCUAAUACAUGCAAGUCGAGCGAACGGACGAGAAGCUUGCUUCUCUGAUGUUAGCGGCGGACGGGUGAGUAACACGUGGAUAACCUACCUAUAAGACUGGGAUAACUUCGGGAAACCGUAGCUAAUACCGGAUAAUAUUUUGAACCGCAUGGUUCAAAAGUGAAAGACGGUCUUGCUGUCACUUAUAGAUGGAUCCGCGCUGCAUUAGCUAGUUGGUAAGGUAACGGCUUACCAAGGCAACGAUGCAUAGCCGACCUGAGAGGGUGAUCGGCCACACUGGAACUGAGACACGGUCCAGACUCCUACGGGAGGCAGCAGUAGGGAAUCUUCCGCAAUGGGCGAAAGCCGACGGAGCAACGCCGCGUGAGUGAUGAAGGUCUUCGGAUCGUAAAACUCUGUUAUUAGGGAAGAACAUAUGUGUAAGUAACUGUGCACAUCUUGACGGUACCUAAUCAGAAAGCCACGGCUAACUACGUG
This 496-nucleotide ribosomal RNA is filed under the name uncultured bacterium. Its description in RNAcentral is "partial 16S ribosomal RNA". It matches the Rfam family "Bacterial small subunit ribosomal RNA", at positions 28 to 507 of the family's 1533-position model. The record is from RNAcentral.